Non-coding RNA from Phoenix dactylifera (date palm), 441 nucleotides. The record is from RefSeq and is a predicted model, not a curated record. NCBI's taxonomy places the organism in Eukaryota, Viridiplantae, Streptophyta, Magnoliopsida, Arecales, Arecaceae.
UGCUAGGUUUUGGAUUUCUUGUGUUCGUGCCCCAGUAGAGUUUGGUUGGGAUCUAAUGGACCAGUACGAGAAGGUGGAGAAGAUUGGGGAAGGGACCUACGGAGUGGUGUACAAGGCUCGAGACCGUCCGACCAAUGAGAUGAAAGCUCUGAAAAAGAUUCGCCUGGAGCAAGAAGAUAGGGAGUUCCCAGCACAACCAUAAGAGAGAUCUUCCUCCACCCAGGCCCUGUUUUUGCUUCCAUCUUAUGUGUGGAAGUAAGAUCAAGAAAGUGUUGGAUCUGCUGGUGUGAAAUCACUAAGAGCAUUGGCAUUCCUUGGAGUAGGUGUUUCUGGUAUAUUGAGCCUGGCUACUUUGGCAUCUGCUGAUGAAGCUGAGCAUGGCCUACCAUGUCCAAUCUAUCCUUGGCCUCACAAAGGCAUUCUUAGUUCCUAUGACCACGC